GGCCGGAUUGACCCUUGAGGUACCAAGGACAGGUUUUGUGGCUUACACCUGUGUAUGGCACCAGGGGAGGCAGGAUAGAGUGAGGAUCUGAGCCAGUACUUGAUUACCUCUUCAUAUGUGGUAUUCUCUCUUGUUACGGUACCAAGAGGUCUCCCACAUCACGGUUAUCCGUGAGUGCGCCUUCUGCCAAUUGAAGGCCGGUGGCCCUUCAGGCAGUUGGUUAAUCUCUGGGUUCCGCUGGAGUAAUUGACACAUUGUAUAAAUAGAUUGUGAAAAAUACUCGCCACAAAUUGGAUAGCGUUGGCAGUGUUUGGAAUCCUCUUCUAUGUGCUGAAGUUAAAGGCAUCCUCAAUGGUGUACUGGAACAGCACUGAGACAAAUGAGUGUCAGGAUUCCAAGACUCCUAGAAGAGGCCUUAAGCGUUUGUUGUCAUUGAAGGAAGAGUUAACUCUAACCUUGUUACGACUCCGAAGAGGAUUUUGCGAUUUCUGAAAGUUCUGCGAGUCAAAUAUGUACCACUUGGUUGUUUCUGAUGAACAAUGACCUUAACUUUCUCAUCAAAUGUCCAUCCAAAGAACAAAUUAGGGAAAAUCUACCCAAAUGCUUUAAACAUUUCAAAACAACAAGAUGCAUUUUAGACUGCAUAAAAUUCUUUGUACAAAAACCUAGCCUUCCAUCUGUUCAGAGAAUAACCUAUUCAUAUUACAAACACCACAAUACCUUUAAGUGUCUAGUAGCCCUAACUCCAUCUGGUUCUGUAUCCGAUUUGUACACUGGUAGUAUCUCUGACAAGAAAAUAGUACAAGAAUCUGGCUUUUUGGAUAAUAUUGAGUUUGGCGAUGACGUUAUGACAGGCCCUGGCUUUUUAAUAAGAGGCGAUCUAGCAUUAAACAUCCCCCAUUCUCUUUUGGAAAACAGAUGGAUAACAAUGCAACCACUAGACCAAGAAGGAUCGCUCGGGCUCGAAAGAGCAAUGGGACGCUUGAAAAACUAUGCAAUGUUGCAGGGUGUUAUUGCUCUCCAGAUGAAGCCUUUGUACAAUAAAAUUGUGUAAUGUUAUGCAGCCUUGACUGUCAACUUGUUAAAUAAAAUUGUAUUCAAAUCAGUACUGUACAUGUAUAUCCAUGUGAAUACCUUUCCUUUUAAUAAAUGGCAAAACAAUU
Molecule: long non-coding RNA, 1163 nt
Organism: Ostrea edulis (European flat oyster)
Lineage: Eukaryota; Metazoa; Mollusca; Bivalvia; Ostreida; Ostreidae
Exons: 3
Source: RefSeq, a predicted model, not a curated record